CCUACGGGUGGCAGCAGUGAGGAAUAUUUGUCAAUGGACGCAAGUCUGAACCAGCCAUGCCGCGUGCAGGAAGACGGCUCUAUGAGUUGUAAACUGCUUUUGUACGAGGGUAAACGCAGAUACGAGUAUCUGUCUGAAAGUAUCGUACGAAUAAGGAUCGGCUAACUCCGUGCCAGCAGCCGCGGUAAUACGGAGGAUUCAAGCGUUAUCCGGAUUUAUUGGGUUUAAAGGGUGCGUAGGCGGUCGGAUAAGUUAGAGGUGAAAUCUCGAGGCUCAACUUCGGAAUUGCCUCUGAUACUGUUCGGCUAGAGAGUAGGUGCGGUAGGCGGAAUGUAUGGUGUAGCGGUGAAAUGCUUAGAGAUCAUACAGAACACCGAUUGCGAAGGCAGCUUACCGAGCUACUUCUGACGUUGAUGCACGAAAGCGUGGGGAGCGAACAGGAUUAGAUACCCUAGUAGUC
Molecule: ribosomal RNA, 460 nt
Filed under: uncultured bacterium
Lineage: Bacteria
Description: partial 16S ribosomal RNA
Rfam family: Bacterial small subunit ribosomal RNA
Source: RNAcentral